RNAcentral lists this ribosomal RNA (503 nucleotides) under uncultured bacterium. RNAcentral's name for it is "partial 16S ribosomal RNA". It matches the Rfam family "Bacterial small subunit ribosomal RNA", at positions 28 to 523 of the family's 1533-position model. The record is from RNAcentral.
GAUGAACGCUGGCGGCGUGCCUAAUACAUGCAAGUCGAACGAAGAUCUAGCUUGCUAGAUCUUAGUGGCGAACGGGUGAGUAAUACAUAAAUAAUCUGCCCAUAUGACUGGGAUAACUAUUGGAAACGAUAGCUAAUACCGGAUAGGUUGAUCGGAGGCAUCUCUGAUGAAUUAAAGUAGGAUUUCUACACAAAUGGAUGAGUUUGUGGCGCAUUAGUCAGUUGGUGGGGUAACGGCCUACCAAGACGAUGAUGCGUAGCCGACCUGAGAGGGUGACCGGCCACACUGGGACUGAGACACGGCCCAGACUCCUACGGGAGGCAGCAGUAGGGAAUUUUCGGCAAUGGGCGCAAGCCUGACCGAGCAACGCCGCGUGAGUGAUUAAGGCCUUCGGGUUGUAAAGCUCUGUUGUAAGGGAAGAACAUUCAGGAUAGGAAAUGAUCUUGAACUGACGGUACCUUACCAGAAAGCCACGGCUAACUACGUGCCAGCCGCCGCCGUAA